CUUUACUGUAGCUUUGUAUUGGACUUUGAACAGAUCUGUGUAGGAUAGGUGGGAGGCUUUGAAGUAGGGUCGCUAGAUCUUAUGGAGCCAACGUUGAAAUACCACCCUGGUGUGUUUGAGGUUCUAACCUUGGUCCCUUAUCGGGAUCGGGGACAGUGCAUGGUAGGCAGUUUGACUGGGGCGGUCUCCUCCAAAGCGUAACGGAGGAGUUCGAAGGUACGCUAGUUACGGUCGGGCAUCGUGACGAUAGUGCAAUGGCAUAAGCGUGCUUAACUGCGAGACUGACAAGUCGAGCAGAUGCGAAAGCAGGACAUAGUGAUCCGGUGGUUCUGUAUGGAAGGGCCAUCGCUCAACGGAUAAAAGGUA
Molecule: ribosomal RNA, 366 nt
Filed under: uncultured organism
Description: bacterial LSU rRNA
Rfam family: Bacterial large subunit ribosomal RNA
Source: RNAcentral